CCCAGACUCCUACGGGAGGCAGCAGUGGGGAAUAUUGCACAAUGGGGGAAACCCUGAUGCAGCGACGCCGCGUGAGCGAUGAAGUAUUUCGGUAUGUAAGGCUCUAUCAGCAGGGAAGAAAAUGACGGUACCUGACUAAGAAGCCCCGGCUAACUACGUGCCAGCAGCCGCGGUAAUACGGAGGAUGCGAGCGUUAUCCGGAUUUAUUGGGUUUAAAGGGUGCGCAGGCGGAGGCACAAGUCAGCGGUAAAAUCGCGGGGCUCACCCCCGCUCCGCCGUUGAAACUGUGUCCCUUGAGUGCGCGAAGGGUAGGCGGAAUGCGUGGUGUAGCGGUGAAAUGCAUAGAUAUCACGCAGAACUCCGAUCGCGAAGGCAGCCUACCGGCGCGCAGCUGACGCUCAUGCACGAAAGCGUGGGUAUCGAACAGGAUUAGAUACCCCAGUA
Molecule: ribosomal RNA, 444 nt
Filed under: uncultured bacterium
Lineage: Bacteria
Description: bacterial SSU rRNA
Rfam family: Bacterial small subunit ribosomal RNA
Source: RNAcentral